GAUGAACGCUGGCGGCGUGCCUAAUACAUGCAAGUCGAGCGAACAGAUGAGGAGCUUGCUCCUCUGACGUUAGCGGCGGACGGGUGAGUAACACGUGGAUAACCUACCUAUAAGACUGGGAUAACUUCGGGAAACCGGAGCUAAUACCGGAUAAUAUAUUGAACCGCAUGGUUCAAUAGUGAAAGACGGUUUUGCUGUCACUUAUAGAUGGAUCCGCGCCGCAUUAGCUAGUUGGUAAGGUAACGGCUUACCAAGGCAACGAUGCGUAGCCGACCUGAGAGGGUGAUCGGCCACACUGGAACUGAGACACGGUCCAGACUCCUACGGGAGGCAGCAGUAGGGAAUCUUCCGCAAUGGGCGAAAGCUUGACGGAGCAACGCCGCGUGAGUGAUGAAGGUCUUCGGAUCGUAAAACUCUGUUAUUAGGGAAGAACAAAUGUGUAAGUAACUAUGCACGUCUGGACGGUACCUAAUCAGAAAGCCACGGCUAACUACGU
Molecule: ribosomal RNA, 496 nt
Filed under: uncultured bacterium
Lineage: Bacteria
Description: partial 16S ribosomal RNA
Rfam family: Bacterial small subunit ribosomal RNA
Source: RNAcentral